GACGAACGCUGGCGGCGUGCUUAACACAUGCAAGUCGAACGGAAAGGCCCCUUCGGGGGUCCUCGAGUGGCGAACAGGUGCGUAACACGUGAGUAACCUGCCCUUGACUUCGGGAUAACUUCAUGAAACUGGGGCUAAUACCGGAUAGGAAUCCUUGCUGCAUGGUGGGGGUUGGAAAGCUUCGGCGGUUUUGGAUGGACUCGCGGCUUAUCAGCUUGUUGGUGGGGUAGUGGCUUACCAAGGCUUUGACGGGUAGCCGGCCUGAGAGGGCGACCGGCCACAUUGGGACUGAGAUACGGCCCAGACUCCUACGGGAGGCAGCAGUGGGGAAUAUUGCACAAUGGGCGGAAGCCUGAUGCAGCAACGCCGCGUGCGGGAUGACGGCCUUCGGGUUGUAAACCGCUUUCAGCAGGGGCGAAGCUUGUGGUGACGGUACCUGCAGAAGAAGCACCGGCUAACUACGUG
This 465-nucleotide ribosomal RNA is filed under the name uncultured bacterium. RNAcentral's name for it is "partial 16S ribosomal RNA". It matches the Rfam family "Bacterial small subunit ribosomal RNA", at positions 28 to 507 of the family's 1533-position model. The record is from RNAcentral.